AACACGUAGGCAACCUGCCCUGAAGCGGGGGAUAACAUCUGGAAACAGGUGCUAAUACCGCAUAACAACGAAAACCACAUGGUUUCGUUUCAAAGAUGGUUUCGGCUAUCACUUCAGGAUGGGCCCGCGGUGCAUUAGCUAGUUGGUAAGGUAACGGCUUACCAAGGCGAUGAUGCAUAGCCGAGUUGAGAGACUGAUCGGCCACAAUGGAACUGAGACACGGUCCAUACUCCUACGGGAGGCAGCAGCU
RNAcentral lists this ribosomal RNA (250 nucleotides) under uncultured Lactobacillus sp. RNAcentral's name for it is "partial 16S ribosomal RNA". It matches the Rfam family "Bacterial small subunit ribosomal RNA", at positions 112 to 355 of the family's 1533-position model. Lineage: Bacteria; Bacillati; Bacillota; Bacilli; Lactobacillales; Lactobacillaceae. The record is from RNAcentral.